Molecule: ribosomal RNA, 368 nt
Filed under: uncultured organism
Description: bacterial LSU rRNA
Rfam family: Bacterial large subunit ribosomal RNA
Source: RNAcentral
CUUUACUGUAGUUUGGAAUUGGGUUCGGGCUCUUCUUGCGCAGCCUAGGUGGGAGGCUAUGAAGAUAAACUUUUGGGUUUAUUGGAGCCAACAGUGAGAGACCACUCUAGAGGAGCUAGAAUUCUAAUGGCGUUCCUUGAAGCAGGACGCUUGACAGUUUCAGAUGGGCAGUUUGACUGGGGCGGUCACCUCCUAAAAGGUAACGGAGGUGUGCAAAGGUUCCCUCAGGCUGGACGGAAAUCAGCCGUAGAGUGUAAAGGCAGAAGGGAGCUUGACUGCAAGACCUACAAGUCGAGCAGGGGCGAAAGCCGGCCUUAGUGAUCCGACGGUUCCGAGUGGAAGGGCCGUCGCUAAACGGAUAAAAGUUA